GUCAAUCCUUGGCUGCGGUGCUCAAGUCCUUCGCGUUGGCGCUUUGAGCCUGUGCACGUGGUGGGAAACCAUUACCUUGGGACACCACCCAGUGUGAAGUGUGGGAUUGCCACAGUUCACAUUCCCCAGGUUUCCCAAGAAGGAGGAGAAGCCAUCAGAACACAUCAACUUAAAAGUGGUGGGUCAAGAUGGCCAGAUUGUGCACUUUAAAAUAAAAAAGCACACAUCCCUUAAGAAGCUCAUAAAUGCAUACUGUGAAAGAUCGAAACUUGUUCAAACUACAGUGAG
Eriocheir sinensis (Chinese mitten crab) is the source of this 288-nucleotide long non-coding RNA. RefSeq lists it as uncharacterized. The transcript has 3 exons. The record is from RefSeq and is a predicted model, not a curated record. Lineage: Eukaryota; Metazoa; Arthropoda; Malacostraca; Decapoda; Varunidae.